RNAcentral lists this ribosomal RNA (468 nucleotides) under uncultured bacterium. RNAcentral describes it as "partial 16S ribosomal RNA". It matches the Rfam family "Bacterial small subunit ribosomal RNA", at positions 28 to 507 of the family's 1533-position model. The record is from RNAcentral.
GACGAACGCUGGCGGCGUGCUUAACACAUGCAAGUCGAACGGAAAGGCCCUGCUUUUGUGGGGUGCUCGAGUGGCGAACGGGUGAGUAACACGUGAGUAACCUGCCCUUGACUUUGUGAUAACUUCAGGAAACUGGGGCUAAUACCGGAUAGGAGCUCCUGCUGCAUGGUGGGGGUUGGAAAGUUUCGGCGGUUGGGGAUGGACUCGCGGCUUAUCAGCUUGUUGGUGGGGUAGUGGCUUACCAAGGCUUUGACGGGUAGCCGGCCCGAGAGGGUGACCGGCCACAUUGGGACUGAGAUACGGCCCAGACUCCUACGGGAGGCAGCAGUGGGGAAUAUUGCACAAUGGGCGGAAGCCUGAUGCAGCAACGCCGCGUGCGGGAUGACGGCCUUCGGGUUGUAAACCGCUUUCGCCUGUGACGAAGCGUGAGUGACGGUAAUGGGUAAAGAAGCACCGGCUAACUACGUG